CCCUAAACCGACACUGGUGGAUAGGUAGAGUAUACCGAGGCGAUCGAGUGAAUCGUGGUGAAGGAACUCGGCAAAAUGCCCCCGUAACUUUGGGAUAAGGGGGACCUGAGCUGUCGUGCACCCGUGCGGUGUGGUGGCGGUGAGGGGCGCAGAGUCCAGGGGGAAACGACUGUUUACCAAAAACACAGGUCCGUGCGAAGUCGUAAGACGAUGUAUACGGACUGACUCCUGCCCGGUGCUGGAA
Molecule: ribosomal RNA, 244 nt
Filed under: Trichormus variabilis ARAD
Lineage: Bacteria; Bacillati; Cyanobacteriota; Cyanophyceae; Nostocales; Nostocaceae
Description: partial 23S ribosomal RNA
Rfam family: Bacterial large subunit ribosomal RNA
Source: RNAcentral